AUGCCGACGACACGCCCUCCUUCCACCGCAGCGCGGCUUUCCCUUAUUCACGUAUGCGCGCAGCAACGUGGCGGCGACCUGGACGAUCUUGGCCUCGUCCUUGGCUUCUCGACGCUCGCCAUCGCUUUCUCAAGCUCCGUCUUCAUCUUGCCCUGCAUCCCCGGCGUGCUGCUUGCCGUGGGUGUCUCUUCCUCCUCGAUGGCGCGCGCAAACAGCUCAGCUCUUAGCGUCGCCGGAUGCUCGGAAGCCGUCACCAUCUUGUUCUCGAGGUCGUCGGUGGCGUCCAGCUCGGCCCUCAACCUCCGUGCCUCCUCCUCACCUCGCUCUAGCUCGUUCUGGUACGCCAGCGCCAACAUCAUCCUCCGCUCCGCUGUGUUGUGGACAGCGCGCGCGGACUCGAGCUCCGCCUUGAGCACAUCGAGCUCUCAAAAUUUGUGGCACCAACAUCGCUGCUACAGCAAGAAAGAGAAAAUAAAUUGA
This 480-nucleotide ribosomal RNA is filed under the name Triticum aestivum (bread wheat). Its description in RNAcentral is "partial small subunit ribosomal RNA". Lineage: Eukaryota; Viridiplantae; Streptophyta; Magnoliopsida; Poales; Poaceae. The record is from RNAcentral.